This 261-nucleotide long non-coding RNA is filed under the name Oryza brachyantha (malo sina). Its description in RNAcentral is "long non-coding RNA (OBRA_LNC000693)". The record is from RNAcentral. Lineage: Eukaryota; Viridiplantae; Streptophyta; Magnoliopsida; Poales; Poaceae.
CGGGGAAAAAGGGAGAGCGCUCUCCCGUAUGUGUUAAAUGAUCUGUUUGGAGAUGGACCCUCCUCCAUGUAUCAGUACGAACCAUCUUGAUCUUAUCUUGCAGAAAUGCAAAUGGCCGGUCUCAACAUCGUUAGGUCACUGACGCUAAUUUACCAUCCAUUGGCAGAAAACCUACAUGGCACCAAACCAAUGGAGCAUGAUCCAUUCAUCACCACUCACUCUGCCCUUCCUUGCCCAAUAUAUGGCCCCAUGCCUGCCUGC